GACAGAGGGGGCAAGCGUUGCUCGGAAUUACUGGGCGUAAAGGGCGCGUAGGCGGCUUGGUAUGUCGGGUGUGAAAUCCCCGGGCUCAACCUGGGAACUGCAUCCGAAACUGCCUUGCUCGAGUAUGGGAGAGGGAAGUGGAAUUUCCGGUGUAGCGGUGAAAUGCGUAGAUAUCGGAAGGAACAUCAGUGGCGAAGGCGACUUCCUGGACCAAUACUGACGCUCAGGUGCGAAAGCGUGGGGAGCAAACAGG
This 253-nucleotide ribosomal RNA is filed under the name uncultured bacterium. Its description in RNAcentral is "partial 16S ribosomal RNA". It matches the Rfam family "Bacterial small subunit ribosomal RNA", at positions 524 to 776 of the family's 1533-position model. The record is from RNAcentral.